Molecule: ribosomal RNA, 488 nt
Filed under: uncultured bacterium
Lineage: Bacteria
Description: partial 16S ribosomal RNA
Rfam family: Bacterial small subunit ribosomal RNA
Source: RNAcentral
AUUGAACGCUGGCGGCAGGCCUAACACAUGCAAGUCGAACGGUAACAGGAAGCAGCUUGCUGCUUUGCUGACGAGUGGCGGACGGGUGAGUAAUGUCUGGGAAACUGCCUGAUGGAGGGGGAUAACUACUGGAAACGGUAGCUAAUACCGCAUAACGUCGCAAGACCAAAGAGGGGGACCUUAGGGCCUCUUGCCAUCGGAUGUGCCCAGAUGGGAUUAGCUAGUAGGUGGGGUAACGGCUCACCUAGGCGACGAUCCCUAGCUGGUCUGAGAGGAUGACCAGCCACACUGGAACUGAGACACGGUCCAGACUCCUACGGGAGGCAGCAGUGGGGAAUAUUGCACAAUGGGCGCAAGCCGGAUGCAGCCAUGCCGCGUGUAUGAAGAAGGCCGUCGGGUUGUAAAGUACUUUCAGCGGGGAGGAAGGGAGUAAAGUUAAUACCUUUGCUCAUUGACGUUACCCGCAGAAGAAGCACCGGCUAACUCCG